AGCAGCAGCCGCGGUAAUACGAAGGGUGCAAGCGUUAAUCGGAAUUACUGGGCGUAAAGCGUGCGUAGGUGGUGGUUUAAGUCCGUUGUGAAAGCCCUGGGCUCAACCUGGGAAUUGCAGUGGAUACUGGGUCACUAGAGUGUGGUAGAGGAUAGUGGAAUUUCCGGUGUAGCAGUGAAAUGCGUAGAGAUCGGAAGGAACAUCUGUGGCGAAGGCGACUAUCUGGGCCAACACUGACACUGAGGCACGAAAGCGUGGGGAGCAAACAGGAUUAGAUACCCCCGUAGUCCCUGUCUCUUAUAC
RNAcentral lists this ribosomal RNA (303 nucleotides) under uncultured bacterium. RNAcentral's name for it is "partial 16S ribosomal RNA". It matches the Rfam family "Bacterial small subunit ribosomal RNA", at positions 507 to 807 of the family's 1533-position model. The record is from RNAcentral.